This is a long non-coding RNA of Oenanthe melanoleuca, 12758 nucleotides long. RefSeq lists it as uncharacterized. The record is from RefSeq and is a predicted model, not a curated record. NCBI's taxonomy places the organism in Eukaryota, Metazoa, Chordata, Aves, Passeriformes, Muscicapidae. The transcript is spliced from 3 exons.
UUUAGAAUUUUUUAUACAAUGGGUCAUGAAGUAGGACUAAGAAGAUAAUGGUCAAGGGCUAUGCUCCCACAACUUGCUUUUAGUUGAAGUUAAGGACAAACACAGUGCAAAGCCUCUAGUAUGCACUUCUGAUCACUUUUAUUUUUCACCAAAGAAUAGGAUAAAGUCUUGCAUUGUAAGGAAUAUGUACAUUGAAAGUAGCAUGUGGUUAGACAAGGCAAUUCAAAGAUUUGACAUGGGAGUGCCAGGCAAGGUUUGCUCAUUCAGUUAAAAUUCUGCUUCAUCUUAGGCAAGUUCUUUGUGAAUCCCCACACUGAAGUACUUUUGGUUGUGGACCAAGAUCUCUCUGUCUUCUUGCAGGUUUUAGAUGAAUAGUGAAGUUAGAAUUGUACAGAAAGUCUUGAAGGGCAUCAGUGGAAGGUUGACUGUCAAGGAGUUCACAUAAGAUUCUUGCUUUUAUGGGUAGUGAGUGAUUAGUCGGCAGUAGGUUAGCCAGAUUUGUGGUGUUUUGAAUGAGUCUUGGACACAUCAUAUCAGCAAAGUGGCUGAGAGGAGUUAGUGCAAAUUCCCUAAUCGUGAGCUGAUUAAGCAAUCGUCCUAUCUUUUCUCAGAAGAGAAGCAGUGGGAUUUGUACUUCUGCACCUUUUGAAAUUCUAAAGGGCUAAAACAGAGCAUGUGGUUCUGAUAUCAUACCCAAUUAAGGGAGGUAUGAAUGAACACUUAAAUGCCAAUUAGCUUGAAUAUAUGCAUGGCUUUUUCAGAAUGUAAAAACAUAAAAGCUUCAGAUAAUCUGACCUGUGGUACUCUUUAAUCUGAAUAGUCCUGAAAUCUGCUCUCAUCAGAUACGAUUACAGCUGCUAGUGUCUGGUUUGUUGCUUUUGCUUGUUUGACCUUCACUCUUCUAAUUUCAGCAAGCAGCUGAGAUCUGACUUGGACUAUGCUUGUACAGCUGUAGCCAGGUUCACAUGAUCCCUUGGGUUUUACUGGAUGGCUCUGUCUAAUCAUAUGACCGAGUCCUUUAGUCUUUACCCAGAUUUUUGCUGUUUCCAUCAGAAUUUUAUUACCUUUACUCACAUUAUUUUUAUUGGAAUGUAUUUACUCUGAUCUGCUCAUUUGUUUUGAUUCUAUUUUAGACUAUUCUGGCAAGUGUUAUUCAUAAACAGACUGAAAUAAAGGGUGCUGAACACCUGUGGGGCAGCUUUGUGAGGUGUUUCUUUCUUUGUAUUGUGAUAGCACAGGUUCAAGGCAAGUAUCAAAAAAGGAAAAAUGUGUUUUUACUGGUAGGGAAAAUAAUGCACCACAGGGUUUUCAGAACAAAACACUUUCAGGUGAAAAGAAGAGAGUAGGAAGUGAUUACUUCAAGCACAGAAAAUCCUUUAAUUCAUGUUGAUCAAAUUAAGCUAUGCUCACAUGUUUCCAGGAACUUCUUAGUGGUUCUCCUCAGGUCUUUGUUAAUACAGUAAUCAUGGAUAGUAACAAUGACUAAGAAGUAAACAGUCACAUUAAGACAUGACACUGUGUUGUGAACUGCAAUAAGUAAUAUCUGGCAUUGCAGUAUAACAUACCUUUGAUAACACCACCUAAUUGUUUUAACUGCCUAUUUUAAUAAUUGAUGUAUUGUAUAUCUGCUGUAAAUUGAGAUAGGUCAGAGGUGGGCUUCUUGAUAAUGUGCAUUGCUAUAAUGAAAAAGCUCCAAAAGAUGUUCCAUUCCAGAGAGUAUUUACAGUGAAAUUACUCUUAGAAUAGCCCAGGAAGUGAGCUUUGUCAGAAGACCAGGGACCCCUGUAUCUCCCAUUAUCUACAUUCACAAGAUAAAAUCUGUAAAAGGGUGCAGGAGAACUUAGGUGUAUUGUAUCAUAAAGACAAUCAGAUGGAGACUGGAUGAUUUGUCCAAAUGUUAUUUUUGCUCUGGUUUUGGUAAGGAGGGCUUCUCCAUUUGCUGCCUAAAAAUGUCUUUAUUUUGAAUCAUGCUUGGAAAUAGGGCAGUUAUCAUAGAAUUAUAGAAUACUUCAGGUAGAAAGGGACUUUAAAAGUCACCUAGUCAGUCCAGCCCCCUCCACAGUAAGCAGGAACAUCUCCAACUAGAUCAGGUUGCUCCAAGCCCUGUCCAGCAUGACCUUGAAUGUUUCCACAGAUGAGACAUCCAUAACCUCUCUGAGCAACCUGUUCCAGUGUUUUAGCCCUCCUGGUAAAAAUACUUUCCUUAUAUCUAGACUAAAUCUACACUCAUUUGGUUUAGAACCAUCACCUCUUGUCUUAUCUCAACAGGCUCUGCUAAAAAGUCUGUCACCAUCAUUCUUGUUAGUCCCCUUUAGGUACUGGAAGGCUGCUAAAAGGUCACCCUGGAGACUUCUUUCAGGCUGAACAACCAUAGUUCUCUCAGCCUUUCCUCACAGGAAAGAUGCUCCAGCCCUCUGAUCAUGUUCAAGGCCUUUCUCUGGACCAGUUCCAGCAGCUCCAUGUCCUUCCUGUGCUGGACCCGAGAUCUGGAUGCUGCACUGCAGUGGGGUCUCACCAGAGCAGAGCUGAGGGACAGAAUCCCCUCCCUCCCCUGCUGCCCAUGGUGCUCUGGACACAGCCAGUGAAAAAGUGUAUAUUUGUGAAUACCUUUUCUAAUUUACAAACCACUCUAUUGACGGAAUGAUUGCACUUCUUUAAUUUGCAUGCAAGUGAAGUAAAAUCAAUUUAUUGGCACCUGCAGAAUGGUGACUUCGCAGGAGAAUUUUUAGAAGCCUCCAUGAUCUAUUGCUAGUUUUGAACAUUAAGAAACUAAAGUUACAGCAGCCUACUGCAUGCCAUCUAUCCACCUCCCUUCUAGCUGCUCUCAAUUAUGAUGACUUGUCACUAUUCACUCCAUAAUUACAUUCUCAAGGUUAUUUCCAUCUCUGCUCCUGAUGUGUCCAAAGCACAUACAUUUACACCUAUUUCUGACAACCAAGUCUACUUUUCUCCAAUAAUAUAUUUAAUAUGUGCAUUUAUCAUUUUUCUGUCCAGAAGAUACGUAAGUCUUUGCUUGCACCAGACUGCGAAAGCUUCAAUUUUCUUUGUCACAAUCAAUAAUUUCUCAAAAGUCACAUUCAUAAGUUGCUACAGCAAAAAAUUAGGCAUAUCACCAGUCAAAUCUUUCUACUUUCAUGGUGAUUUUUUUUUCCAGGAUUUUAUAAGGGAAGCCAUGGAUGGAUCAACUAUUCUUCAAAAUAUUCCAGUUUCUAUUAGACAGGUUCUGAUUGAGUAAAUUUGAUUCCAGAUUUGUUCCUUGACCUGCUGCUGGGUAUGGCAAAUGGGAACUCAGGAAAAGGUAUGAAUGAACAGAAGAAAUGGGAUGAGCAAAGAUGAGCACAUGUAGUAGAAAAUCUGCAGCUGGCUGGGCAGUAGGAGUUUCAUGUGAGCAAACAAAAAAUGCAGAGAUAGAACGUGAAAUAAACAGUACACAGUGAAUUGUAAGUAUCUUUUAAAUAUUAUUUGUGAUCUGUAAGUACAAUUUUGCCAAAUUCAAGAUGAACUGGAGAAGCCAAAUUCUGAAAACAAUAUAAUUAAAUGUUCUGUUAUAGAUCCUAAAAUGAGUUAUACCUACAGUUCUAUUUACUUAAUAUAAAGGCUCCUUUCAAUUUUUAUUUUGGCUUUCCAUAUUUAGCAGCUACUAUAAUAAUCUCUUUGGAAACUAGCUGAACAAACUUGCAAGAAGAUUUUUAAAAACACAGCAUACUAUUAAAAUUCAAAGUUAAAAAGACUUGUGGAUUUCUUUUGCCCCCUGUUUACAUGUGAAGGGGAGUUUAAGGUCAGCUGGAGAGCUACAUCAAAAUAUAAUGUGAGCUUUUAUUUGUGUGUAUACAUCCUGCUUAUUUUGACGCUGCAUAGUUAGUCUUCUUGCUGAGACCUGGGAAGAAUAUAUGUGUGAUAGUGACUGCAGUCACUAAAGCAGUGAACCUGACAGUGUAGAGUUUUGAAAAAUAAAUGAAACAAGCUUGAAUUAUGGAAAUGGUUUUUUUCUAUUUCAUCCCAUUAAUGGGUAUAAACAUAAUUUAGACACUGAUUUACUUGUAUGUGCCUUUUAUAAUUGCUGAAUUUGAAAAGUACAUGUAUAGCCAGAAACAACUAAAAAAGUCCAAAAACAUGUGUCUUUAAGAGUUGUCAAAGUCACAAACUGCAUAACACUGCUGAGGAAAAUAAUUACUGACACUUGUAUGGCUGUUGUGCUUUAACCCAGCCAGCAACCAAGUCCCAUGCAGCCACUCAAUCAUCCUCUCACAGUGGUAUGGGAAAGAGAAUUGGAUGGGUAAAAGUGAGAAAACUCAUGGGUUGGGAUAAAGACAGUUUAUUACGUAAAGCAAAAGCCUCACACACAAGCAAAGAAAACCAGGGAAUCCAUUGACCACUUCCCAUGGGCAGAUAGGUGUUCAGCCAUCCCUAGGAAAUCAAGGCUUCAUCACGUAUAUUUGGAAAGUACAAAUGCCAUCACUCAAAAUGUCCCCCCCCUUUUUUUUAUUCUUCCCCCAGCUUUAAAUACUGAGAAUAACACUGUAUGGUCUGGAAAAUCCCUUUGGUCAAUUGGGGUCAGCUGUUCCAGCUGCAUCCCUUCCCAACACCUUGUGCACCUCCAGCCUUCUCACAGAUGUCUUGACACUGUGUAAGGGCUGCUCAGCAAUAACAAAAACAUCUCUGUUGUAUUAUCAACCCUGCUUUCAGCACAAAUCCAAAAUAUAGCCCCAUGCCAGCCACUGUGAAGAAAACAAACUCUACCCCAUGCAAACAAAUUGGCAAUUUGUUCUGCUGAUUAUUAAACCUUUUAAUUUUCUACUUUUCUGCCAUGUAGUAUAUUUAAUUUAUAUUUUGUUCAUGAAAAAUAGGCAAGUUCAGAACAAAAACUGACACAAAGAUAAAUCUCUUAAAUCACUUAAGUUUUAAGGUACACAUUUUUGUCUCCUAACCAUCACCACUGUACAGAAGAAAUACCGACUCAGAAAUUGAAGAACUACACAGGAAAUAUUAACUACUCCCACCUUUUAAGUUAGUGUGUUCAUUCUUCCAGGUUUUGGGGAACGUAAUCAGAGGAAUAAAGCGGUUGAAAGACUUCAGUGUUUGAUCAUCUACUUGAAAAAAACUUAAACAUGUUUUCAUGCUGGUUGUAUCAACUGUUUUUGUUUGGGGUUGGUUUGUUUGUCUGGGUUUUUAAUAAGUUGUCUAUUACAGAUGGGCCUAGAUCCAAAUGACACCGCCUCUGCUCCAUCCUGAAUUGUGUAUAUCAGGUUGCAGAUAUCAAUCUGAAUGUCAUGAGCUAGAGCAGGGUGGAGUGGAGCUUGUCUUAAGAUAUGAUUCCCUCAUUCUUUGAACUUGGAAUUGUCAUGAAUUUGACAGGUACAAGCUAACUAAUUUUUGCCCAGUCCUUAAAUAAAUUGGAAACUGUAGACUCUCCCAUUAGAAGGAGUAACUGUCCUUUUAUGUCGCUGAAACUGUAAGAUGGUCCUCAGCUGCCUGUGGCUUUCUAAAUUUGAGUUUCUUUUGUUGCUGGUGUUAUUCACUGGGAAAGAAUGUGGCCUCGUUUCCAGUGAGAGAGGGUAUGAAAUGUUAAAAAACAGAAGUGAUAGGUGAAUUUUAAAGGGACUAAAAAAACCCCAAAAGAGGUCAGAAUUUACAGGAAAGCAAAAGAAGGCCUUCCGCAUUCAGCAACAAGCAAAUAGCGAUCUAUUCAUUUCCUAUAUAAAUAAUUAGAUUCUAUCAUGUGACAGUUACAAAGAAGCACAUACUAAACACAGGAUUUUCUUUAAAAAUUGUAGUCUACACAGCUGUUUUUAAAUGCACAUCACUCACUUGUUGCUCCCUCCCCCCACCUCCUUGGCUUCUUGUUUCAGCAUAAGACAUCUGGCAUACAAGUUAUUCAAGUUCAGAAACUAGUUACUGAAAUCUAAUUAAUAAAUGAGUGCUAAUGGGUUAAGACCGUAACAAGUUCCCUAAUUUAUUUUUACAAGCAGUUGCAGUAAUCCACAAAUGUUUGUGACAGAUGUCAAACACAAGGAUUGCUGUAACUAGCAGCUUUUGUGUAGCAAAUGGUAAGUGAGGAAAACUGACACUAAGCAGGAUACCUGCAAGAUUUUUUUAUAUUGUAGAAUUUUGAAGCCAUUCAGUUGUGAUAUCAGAAAAUUUUGUAAAAUAUUCAUAUCUCAAUAGGACAUGUGCAUACCUGUACUUGAGAAUAAGGCCUUUAUGAAACUAUUUUUAGAAAGAAAUAACAUAGAUUUUUAUAUUGUUUUAAUCUUAUAUUAAUUGAAGGUCAAUCACUGUGAGGCAAACAGGUUCAUAAAUCACUUGUGAUUGGCAAGCAAUUAACUUCUGGUAAAUUAAUUGCACAGGCAAUGGAGUACAGUCUGUCUUAAUAGGUAAAAGCAUUUUUUCAUUAGAGUAACAUUAGUAAAUGAUUGAAACUUGCCUAAGAUCCAGGUUUGCAUGUAAUAUUAGAUCUACUUAGAAACUCCAUCCUGCAACAAGGCCUGACAUUUUAACAUUUAAAAUUUCUGAAUCAGAGCAAACAAGACAUCUUGAAAUUUCCAGUAGAAUGAAAGUACUGUUUUUUAUUUGGAAUCACUGAAGAGUUUUAAUGACUUUUUCCCAGAAUUUAAUAAGGGUAAAUGGACUGAUAAUAUCACAAAACCCAUAAAAUACAAAAAUACAUAAACUAAAUUUUACUUAUAGUAUUACAUAAAAGUAUACUUCUAGUAUAUUAGACUAUAGUAUAUUAUAUGUAGUGUUUUGUAUAGUAUAUUAUAAUACUAAUAGUAUUACAUAUAGUUGAAAGAAAAAAACUGAUAGCUUUUUUGCCCCUUUUCUUUCAAAUUUUAAAUGGUUAGUUCAAAGUGUUUAUUUCUGCAUCUCAGUAUGAUGUGGCCACAUUAAGUAAACUUGGGAAUUAAUAUAUUUGAGGAAAAGCAAAAUAUUUAUUUCAGGAGAUAUAGAGUACCUUAAAGUGAUAAAAUCCUAAUAUGAGCAAGGUAGUUUGUAGUUAUUACUUGCUAUCUUGAUGAAGGUAAACAGGUAGGAGCGUAAAAAUAUUUUAACCAUCUAAUACAUAUAAUGAGAUAUUGUUCUAACUAAAGGAAACAAACUUCUUUUCCUUUCUGCCUUAGUGAAGACUAAGUCCAACAUGGAAUUGUUUGGAAUGAGUUGCUAUCACUUAUGCUAGGGAUUUGGCUCUUAGUAAGACAUCUCAGGAGAAGCUGAGCUGCCCAAGAACAUAAAAUGCUGAGGUGUGACUGCAAAUUCUUGAAUUAUUUUAGUUCUGUCUUACUGUAGAAUAUUUUAGUUCAGUUCAAAAUCAGUGACAUUUCUUCUGCAACUGUGCCUGUCCUCUUAACAGCUGCCUAAAGGCAGAUACCUUGCAGAGUGGAAACCUGGAGAUUUUCUGUCCUGGGGCAGUAUUGUUCUUACAGCUCUGGCUUUACGAAUGAAUGGAGGCCAUUACUGAUACUGUUCCAUGGAAAUGUCCUCUAUCUUAAUCAGCAGACAAUAACUGUUUUGUAAAAAACAAUAAGUAAACUUUCACAUCCCAGUCAAAUUCCAGUUUAGACAACAGCACCCUGCUGACAAAGUUCCUGCCACUUCAGAUGGAUAGUAACUGCCUAUUAACCUACUCUAUGUUACUACAUGGCAUAGUUAAGCAGCUGUUGCAUUUUGUUUGAUGUAGAUGUAUUUAAGCGAAUCCCUCAUGGUUUUAUUGUUUUGGUUUUUUUUUAACAAAACGUUUUGGGAAUGGUAGAAGUUGCAGAAGUGUCAAUCAUUAUUCAUUUUUUGCCAUUAAGUUUAAUUCCUGCAAUGAUAUACAUGAAAUCUGUUUUUUAAAAAAUAACAAAGAAAUGCAAUUUUACUGCUAAUCUUGUUCUUAGGCCACUAAAAUAUGUGGAUCUGAUAUGAAAUAUCUGAUAUUAAAUUUACCAUAGGAUAGGAUCAAUGCAGUUUUUAAAAAUAAAGGAAGUGAUAUUCAACAGAUAAAAACAUGACAGUUACAAUGAAAGUCAGCUGAUUACUUUUCAUCAUGUGCCAAGGUGAAAUAUUAAAGAUUGUUUGUUCUCCAUUUCUGCAGUUUAAACAGAUUAGGGUGGAUUUUUGGUAUCUAUUGAAUUUGACGUAUCAGAUUGAUAAAAACAGCAGAGCAGAGAACAUCCAAUACAGGAAUCAGUCACCACAAAUCAAAUCUGAAGUGUGAGCUUAUUUCAAAUUCAGAAGGACCUUGUAGCAGUGAGGAUUCUGUCAGCUAUAUAAGCAUGACCUCAUUUUAUGCCUGCAGAGAAAAUACAAUCCUUCAAUUCUUGGAUAAUAGCAUUUAUUGUCAUUAUCUCUCUGCACCUCCUUUCCUAAAACCCAAGCAUCUUUAUAGUUCAUAUAUUCCGAAGAUGUUUAGCAUAGCAGGUAUAAUGGGCAAAUUUUAUUUCUGUUCUGCAAUAUAGCUGGAGUACCUCAUUAAAGUCCAGGUACAUUAAGACUAGUAAUAUGCUGCUUUAGAAUGCAUUUAAACAAGAAUUUGAAAAUUUGCUACUAUUAACCUUCAGUGGUAAUGUUAUAAACUCCUUUGAUAGUUUACUGAUGGAUAGGUGAACCAAAGUACUGAUUUGUUAAGUGACUUAUUUAGUAUUCAUUAGUGGUAAUGCUGGAAUAGCUAUGAUCUGUUUACUUAAAAAUGCAAUCCUAUUGAUACCAGCAGAAUUUUUGCUAUUGUCUUCAGUGGGGCAAAAAGUGCCUUAAUGGUCUAGAUUUCUGCUGCUUCUAAAUACUGUUUUUUUCCUGUUUAAAAAAAUGGUGAAAUAGAACCCUGUAUAAAGGGAAUUGAGGCAUUAUUUUAAUAUAGAUAAAAUAAAUCUGUAUUAUUUGGAAUUUAAAAAUGAAUGUGUGAAAUAACCAACAUUACUGCAGUGAUAACAACCUGUUUCUUCAGUUAACUAUGCAAUUGAUCACGAUAUGGAAGAGAAGAUCAAUAUCCUGCAAGUGUAGAAGUCAGAUAUGGAGUUUCUUAAUGGAGAUAAAAUACCAACAUCCACUAUGCAUUUGACUAAAGUCUAGAGAUGGGUGGAGGAGAAGAGACAGGAACACAAAGUCUAAGAUCAUCGACAAAGUAAUAUGAACAGGAGACAGAGACAUUCCAAGAAGCCAAGUUAAACAUCUUAAAUCAGCAUUAAGGUAAAUGGAUUUUAAAAAAUAGAGAGGGAUAGCUAACACUCUCUAGUUUCUGCGAUGUUAAAUGAAACCAAAAGCUGGCAAUGGAAUGUGGAAGGGUCCUUAGGAAGAGGGUUACAGCAUGGAAGACUGGAUCAACUUUUGUGAAAAUGGUUUUUGCAGGAACUAGAUGAGGCCUAUUUUCAUCUCUCCUUUCUGAAGGAAAAACCUAUGAUAGUCUGGGGCUUUAAUUACAUAUAUUAAUGGUCCAAAGUAAAGUUCUGAAUAAUGAUAAAAACUAUACCUUAAGCUCCUGGAAAGAUAACUUAUUUCAGAUUUACUGCAGCAGGCAUUAACUUUUAAUGCACACUUAUUCCUCAGGCCUUUUUCUACAGUAUUUGUUAUUGUAUACUCAACACGUUACUGUAAGCAAUAAGGAGUUUUUAAACUGGUAAAGUUAAACAUGUCUUUCUUGCCACACCAGUACACUCUUCAAGCCAAAAGUUUAGUUGCAAAUUGUUCUUGCAAAUCAAAACCUAAUUUUUUUGAACUAUAAAGACAUUUCAAAUGCAGAAGAAAGGAAAUCACAAUUUGCUGAGUAGAUGUAGGCUGUAUAUAAUCAGAAACAGUAUAAGGGACUGACAUUUCCUUGUUCUGUGGCUCCACUCUGGUAAUAUUACUACUUUAAUGUGACUUGUAACAAAAGCAAAAACAUAUUAAAGUAUUUUUACUUUAAGACGGCAACACUGAAGAAACUAAAAUGGAAAAUCUGUUGUUAAAGUACUCAGUAAAGACCAGACUAAACACUUUAGACAAACAGCACAGAUUACAUGCUGUAUGUUCAAGCCACUCCAAGUAAAAACAAGCCAAGUGUAGACAUAAGGAAAGGCAAAGGAAUGGAAAAAAACCCCAACCCAAACCAACAACAUAUAUAAUAGAUGAUUAUGGUGUUGUUUGAAAAAGCUGUGUGAAAAUUUGCAAAAAAAGGACACAAUUACUUGAAGGAACCUCUAUUACAGUGAUUAUAAUUUUCUCUUCAAAAAUCCUUCCUAUUUGAAUCAAAUCCCUCCUAUUUACAGUGUUAACUGUGGUAGUGAGAAAUCUGCCAGUGCCCAAAUUAGUCUGGUAUUUUCAUGGUGUCAAAUACUGUAAUAUGGACAAUUGGCAAAGAAUGACAUAGUUUCAUGCGUAAAGUGCCAGCAGCAACACCCGUCUAGCAGUGCAAUUUAAUGGAGGCUAUCAGACUAGAGCACACUGGAAAACUCUUCCUCUUCUUUUUUUUUUUUUUUUCUGGCAACCUUAAAAAUAUAAAGACACAGUCAUUACACAGGAAUUUACAUGACCCAUUUUUCCAAACGUAUGAUUAACACAUUGCCAGCAUCACACCCUUAAAGAAAAACGAUUUUGUUUCUGAUACUUGUUCAGACACUGAACACAUGAAGUAAGGGAACAGUUCCUGGUACAUGCAUGAAACUGUCACUUGACACCACUUGCACACACAAAUUCCGAUCAAGGCAAAUUUUCCUCCAGAUUUUUUGACACAUAUAAUGGCAGUGUAUUGAAUAAUUAUUUAUUUUGCUUUGUGAGUCAUGGCAAGAGACAGCUUUUUUGAGGUUUACGAGCACAUCCCCUGCAUGAUUAUGUAUAGGUUUUUUGAAUUGUAUUAGAAGGGUAAAUGUUUGUCCUUGUUUAUUUAAAUAUUGCCCACUAUGUAGCUACAAGAUAAGUAUUGAAAUGGCAAAGUCACAGGCAAACUAGCAAUGCCUAAAUCAGUUUAUUUCCUAAAACAUUAAAUGUUUUGAAUACAAAUUUCAAAUUUUCUUACAUUACUCUUAUUGAGGAAUAUAUACAUUGAGAAAUCCUACGUAAAAAACCUAAUUUUCCUUUCUGUUGUGCUACCAAAUAGUCAGCACUUUGGGAUGAUCCCUACAAGCUCUAGACAAAUUACCCCAAGCAACCUUCUGCAGUUUUCACAGGACAACUGUGUUGAGCUACCCGUGCGUACAUAGUUCACCCUAAAACCAAAUAUUAUUUUUGCACUUGCUUAUUCAUUUAUAAUUAAGUUACAUCUAUAAUGGAAACAAUUGGGUCCCAGUGGCAGAUGGAGGCUCUCCAGCAGGCCUAAGGAACCAGAAGUGGGAGUACUUGUGAUUAAGACACAAAGCUGGCCAUGACUUCUUGGUCCUUCUUGUGAGCAUCUAAGAUUAGGUGCUAAAUAAGCAGACCUUUAGUAAUCUUCGGAAGGCCACAUCUUCCAUGUUUCCCUCUUUGAAGGAAAAUGAAGGACAAAUGAGGCUCAGGGAUGCCACCUCUUUUGACUGGGAUGAAUCACACCAUGAGAGAUCUGUGGGUUGGGAGAAAACCUUACUCCCCUUGAGGAGGACCAGGCACAUAAGCAUGUUUUGUCUCAAACAUGGGAAAAUGCUUCUCCCCUUUCACAGAGCGUCCUGUUUCUGUUCCCUAGGGAAGAUCACAGUGGGACAUCUCCAGCAAAUGUCCUCCUGAGGCACUGUGCCCAGAUGGGAGGUGGUUGCAUGCAGAUGGCAGGGAGGUAUCUCAAGAAAUGGGGCACUGGAAUCCAUCUCCUGAAAGCUGCAUGUACAAGCAUGAUGUAGUGGAGACCCUGCCUAUUAGGCAGGGAGACAGAGCUGACAAGAAUGCCUAUGGCAAUGUAAUAAAAUCCUAUUUUCAGAGAUCAGUAAUGUUUAAACUUCAUAUGUAAUUUUACAACUAUAUUUUAAAGCCCAUUUGGUGACCGUGAAAUUUCUCAGAUCAAUGAAAUUCUAUAAAAACGACAGAAAAGUUCUCCCAGUAAAAUCUUCUCAUCUUGAGUGUUGUUUGACUUUUGCUUGGUUGUUUUUUAUUUUCUGUUUUUAAAAUAACUUUAAGAGCUCUGCUCCUAAAACCCUUUUGCUCCUUGUACACCAACACGUGUUGAUAAAUUUAAUUCAAUUCUUGUUCUCUUAGUUCUUUUCAUGGUGACUUCACAGCAGUUCUAAUUUAGGGCUAUUUGCCAUCAUUACAGUCCAUCAAGAGCACAUCUCUUUUCUGUCAUCUUUCCAUAACCUUCCACUGUCCAUCUCCAACAAGUGUCCAUUGCUUGUUGGAGAUAACGAAGCUCUCUCCUCCCUAAUCAGCUGUUUCUCUAUUCUGCUGCAGCUCGUAAUUUCCACAGCAAUCACUGAUGCCAGAUCCCACGACACUACUCAGUUUGCUUAAAAACUCUCGUCCGCCGUUUACAUGUUAUUUCCCCUUCAGUAUGAGCCUGCAGACCCACAGCAGCAUUCCAGACUAUGGCACCUACCUCUACCCAGCGUUAAAAACUACCUAGUAAAACUGGGCAGCAGCAGCAGAAACGGAACACUCACGCUUUUUGUUACAAGAGUGAAACCUGCCACUACACGGCUGAGAGAUGUCACCGUGCUAGCUGUCGACGAUCCCGCGCCGUUCCUGACCUCACCGUACCGUACCCAGCAGCGCGGGUCCCACCACACAGCUGUGCCCUCCCGGCACGCUGGUUGCCCAGCCGGCUUGCAAGGCGGCACGGCCCUCAGGCCCCAGCCCUGAGCCCUGAGGCCUCCGCUGGCCGGGGCGGGGCCGCGGGCGGGCAGGGGAAGGGG